AUUGAACGCUGGCGGCAGGCUUAACACAUGCAAGUCGAGCGGGGGAAGGUAGCUUGCUACCGGACCUAGCGGCGGACGGGUGAGUAAUACUUAGGAAUCUGCCUAUUAGUGGGGGACAACAUCUCGAAAGGGAUGCUAAUACCGCAUACGUCCUACGGGAGAAAGCAGGGGAUCACUUGUGACCUUGCGCUAAUAGAUGAGCCUAAGUCGGAUUAGCUAGUUGGUGGGGUAAAGGCCUACCAAGGCGACGAUCUGUAGCGGGUCUGAGAGGAUGAUCCGCCACACUGGGACUGAGACACGGCCCAGACUCCUACGGGAGGCAGCAGUGGGGAAUAUUGGACAAGGGGGGGAACCCUGAUCCAGCCAUGCCGCGUGUGUGAAGAAGGCCUUAUGGUUGUAAAGCACUUUAAGCGAGGAGGAGGCUCUUUUGGUUAAUACCCAAGAUGAGUGGACGUUACUCGCAGAAUAAGCACCGGCUAACUCUGUGCCAGCAGCCGCAGUAA
RNAcentral lists this ribosomal RNA (503 nucleotides) under uncultured bacterium. Its description in RNAcentral is "partial 16S ribosomal RNA". It matches the Rfam family "Bacterial small subunit ribosomal RNA", at positions 30 to 523 of the family's 1533-position model. The record is from RNAcentral.